UACAAUGGAGAGUUUGAUCCUGGCUCAGGAUGAACGCUAGCGGCAGGCCUAACACAUGCAAGUCGAGGGGUAACAGAAAAGCUUGCUUUUGCUGACGACCGGCGCACGGGUGCGUAACGCGUAUGCAACCUACCUCAUACUGGAGGAUAGCCCCUGGAAACGGGGAUUAAUACUCCAUAGUAUCACAAUUUCGCAUGUUAUUGUGAUUAAAGUUUUUCGGUAUGAGAUGGGCAUGCGUCCCAUUAGCUUGUUGGUGAGGUAACGGCUCACCAAGGCAACGAUGGGUAGGGGGCCUGAGAGGGUGGUCCCCCACACUGGUACUGAGACACGGACCAGACUCCUACGGGAGGCAGCAGUGAGGAAUAUUGGUCAAUGGAGGAAACUCUGAACCAGCCAUGCCGCGUGAAGGAUGACGGCCCUAUGGGUUGUAAACUUCUUUUAUAGAGGAAGAAACUUGUCUACGUGUAGACAACUGACGGUACUCUACGAAUAAGGAUCGGCUAACUCCGUGCCAGCAGCCGCGGUAAUACGGAGGAUCCAAGCGUUAUCCGGAUUCAUUGGGUUUAAAGGGUCCGUAGGCGGAUUUUUAAGUCAGUGGUGAAAGCCGACAGCUCAACUGUCGAACUGCCAUUGAUACUGGAAAUCUUGAGUACAAAUGAAGUAGGCGGAAUGAGUCAUGUAGCGGUGAAAUGCAUAGAUAUGACUCAGAACACCGAUUGCGAAGGCAGCUUACUAACAUGUAACUGACGCUGAGGGACGAAAGCGUGGGGAGCGAACAGGAUUAGAUACCCUGGUAGUCCACGCCGUAAACGAUG
This 815-nucleotide ribosomal RNA is filed under the name Cryomorphaceae bacterium. RNAcentral's name for it is "bacterial SSU rRNA". It matches the Rfam family "Bacterial small subunit ribosomal RNA", at positions 1 to 811 of the family's 1533-position model. The record is from RNAcentral. Lineage: Bacteria; Pseudomonadati; Bacteroidota; Flavobacteriia; Flavobacteriales; Cryomorphaceae.